Galendromus occidentalis (western predatory mite) is the source of this 1155-nucleotide long non-coding RNA. RefSeq lists it as uncharacterized. The record is from RefSeq and is a predicted model, not a curated record. NCBI's taxonomy places the organism in Eukaryota, Metazoa, Arthropoda, Arachnida, Mesostigmata, Phytoseiidae. The transcript is spliced from 3 exons.
GAAGCAUGCGGUCAGCUGUUCAAAGAUUCCCUGGAUACUCUUGUCGUUCGUUAAAAUCCCGCGCAUUACUUAAUAGCUGCUCAGUCGUUCGCUUUUUCGCUUCGAAAUCUGGAGAAUCGGCGCUGGCGGAUAACUCCGUGAAAUAAUCUGGCGGUUUGACGGCACACGUCGAUUGGCAACGAGCGCAACUGAGGGAAGACAAGAUGUCGAAUCCGAACAAGCGGACUUUCUCGGUGAAAGAGAAGACAUUCGACGGUAUCAAGUCGACUAAUGAAAUCACCAUGGUGGGAAGACGGAUGGUUCCGAAAGAUUUCCUCGACGCUCUUGAUGACAAAUGUCAGGUGCGUCUUGUGGACAGUCUGAACAGAACAAUCUACGCACACUUGGCGCUCCUCCCUUUCAAAUGUGGAUCGAAGGAGUCCGAAAUUCUGUGCGCCAUCCCCCACCACUUCUCUAAAUGUUUCCCAGCUGUCUUAGGCGAGAAACACUGGAAUAGCCUCGUCGAUAAUGAUUAGUUCCUCGGGUUAGUAGCCCAACGAUCAUCCACGCGAAAUCGUCGCGCGAAAAUCAAUUGAGGACUCGAGUGAACUUUUCUAGCCACCGGAAAUAGAGGUCUCAUCAACUGUCGUUCAUGCCGUUUGCAGCGUAAAUGUGAGGGUUUAGGACGCCAGUACAGACAUUUUCUGCGGUAAAUCACACAAAACCUCGCUCACUUGGAUCCCGCUCAUUGGGAGUGAAGCUUGUUUUCGCACAAAUAGAAUUAACACAAGAUCGUGAUCGCGUUCCCCCCGGCUGAAGUCAUCCGGGAGGCUUUGCCCGUAUUUUGAGUCAUCAAACAUUCAAGCCGGAGUCCACGCUAUAGGCGAAGCGCUCUCCCAGGGCGGAGAGGGGAAUGUGCCCUGGUCGUCAACCUUUUUGCAGCGCAGGUCGAAUCUCCAUCCAAUGCUGCAUCCCCUGAUAGACGAAACGUUGUUCCGAAUCGGCCCCCUAUGCCUUCAUUCAAGCCCCCUCGGAAUGACAUUAAGCGGCAUCAUUGAAUGACACGUAACCUCACCAAACCCGAACAAAACACUAGCGCUCGAUUGUUUCCCAAAUCAUCAACCUUAAUACCGAGCCGAGGCAAAUUACUUGUACAAUAAAGGGAAAUUGUGAAAA